This 630-nucleotide ribosomal RNA is filed under the name Paenibacillus sp. So2Ps_1689. RNAcentral describes it as "bacterial SSU rRNA". It matches the Rfam family "Bacterial small subunit ribosomal RNA", at positions 388 to 1012 of the family's 1533-position model. Lineage: Bacteria; Bacillati; Bacillota; Bacilli; Caryophanales; Paenibacillaceae. The record is from RNAcentral.
GGAGCACGCCGCGUGAGUGAUGAAGGUUUUCGGAUCGUAAAGCUCUGUUGCCCUAGACGAAUAGCAAGGUGAGUAACUGCACUUUGUGUGACGGUUUAGGAGAAGAAAGCCCCGGCUAACUACGUGCCAGCAGCCGCGGUAAUACGUAGGGGGCAAGCGUUGUCCGGAAUUAUUGGGCGUAAAGCGCGCGCAGGCGGUUAAUUAAGUUGGGUGUUUAAGCCCGGGGCUCAACCCCGGUUCGCAUCCAAAACUGGUUGACUUGAGUGUAGGAGAGGAAAGUGGAAUUCCACGUGUAGCGGUGAAAUGCGUAGAGAUGUGGAGGAACACCAGUGGCGAAGGCGACUUUCUGGCCUAUAACUGACGCUGAGGCGCGAAAGCGUGGGGAGCAAACAGGAUUAGAUACCCUGGUAGUCCACGCCGUAAACGAUGCAUACUAGGUGUUGGGGAUUCGAUUCCUCGGUGCCCAAGUUAACACAGUAAGUAUGCCGCCCGGGGAGUACGCUCGCAAGAGUGAAACUCACAGGAAUUGACGGGGACCCGCACAAGCACUGGAGUAUGUGGUUUAAUUCUAAGCAACGCGCAGAACCUUACCAGGUCUUGACAUCCCGAUGUAACACCUAGAGAUAGGUG